GGAAGCGAACGGGGCCCGGUGGCCCUCCCGGUCUUCAAAAUCGGUUGCUUCCCGCGUUGAGCGGGAGGGCUGGGUUCGACUCCCAGGCGCUUCCGCCA
RNAcentral lists this transfer RNA (98 nucleotides) under Acidobacteriota bacterium. RNAcentral describes it as "Acidobacteria bacterium (soil metagenome) tRNA-Sec". It matches the Rfam family "Selenocysteine transfer RNA". RNAcentral also lists the same sequence under 2 other names. The record is from RNAcentral. Lineage: Bacteria; Pseudomonadati; Acidobacteriota.